UUAGCGCAAUUGGAUAGAGCGUCAGAUUCCGAUUCUGGAGGUUGGGGGUUCGAAUCCCUUA
RNAcentral lists this transfer RNA (61 nucleotides) under bovine gut metagenome. It matches the Rfam family "tRNA", at positions 7 to 64 of the family's 71-position model. Rfam says of the family: Transfer RNA (tRNA) molecules are approximately 80 nucleotides in length. Their secondary structure includes four short double-helical elements and three loops (D, anti-codon, and T loops). The record is from RNAcentral.